RNAcentral lists this ribosomal RNA (253 nucleotides) under uncultured bacterium. RNAcentral's name for it is "partial 16S ribosomal RNA". It matches the Rfam family "Bacterial small subunit ribosomal RNA", at positions 524 to 776 of the family's 1533-position model. The record is from RNAcentral.
UACAGGGGGUGCAAGCGUUAUUCGGAAUUAUUGGGCGUAAAGAGCGCGUAGGCGGUCUACUAAGUUUGGUGUGAAAUCCCUGGGCUCAAUCCAGGAAGUGCAUUGAAUACUGGUAGACUUGAGUAUUGGAGAGGUAAGCGGAAUUCCCAGUGUAGAGGUGAAAUUCGUAGAUAUCGGGAGGAACAACAGUGGCGAAGGCGGCUUACUGGACAAUUACUGACGCUAAGGCGCGAAAGCGUGGGGAGCAAACAGG